CAAUGUUAACUUCUUUUAUUUAUUUUUUAAGUUCCCCAGAGUGACAAGGUGAAAUGAAACCUCUCAGGCAGAGCCUCCUCCUGUCCAGGCUCUCUUACAUCCUUAGUGGACUCUACCACCUUUCCUGAAAGUCAAAGACCUUUAGGUUUGGAUAGCUGGGAGGGGCUUGGUCCUCUGGACUGCCUCUCUAUCCUCUGGCCUAGGUGAGGGUCCCCAGAGAGUCCUUUAAAUGGAUCAGAAGCAGUUUCUAUGAACUUCUUGCCAGUCAGUCUAGUGCGUUUCUCUCCCUAGAGAUUUUACUUUCUUUGGUGAAAGCUCUCAACUCCCAUUUCUCUGAGGACCUUUUCUGGUUGGCGGGAAGGCUUGCCUUCAUGUAAACUGAGG
This 384-nucleotide long non-coding RNA is filed under the name Bos taurus (domestic cattle). RNAcentral describes it as "long non-coding RNA NONBTAT001141". The record is from RNAcentral. Lineage: Eukaryota; Metazoa; Chordata; Mammalia; Artiodactyla; Bovidae.